Molecule: transfer RNA, 73 nt
Filed under: Leachiella pacifica
Lineage: Eukaryota; Rhodophyta; Florideophyceae; Gigartinales; Choreocolacaceae
Description: tRNA-Ala
Rfam family: tRNA
About the family: Transfer RNA (tRNA) molecules are approximately 80 nucleotides in length.
Source: RNAcentral
GGGAGUAUAACUCAGUUCGUAGAGUAUUGCUUUUGCAAAGCAAAUGUCAGAGGUUCAAUUCCUCUUAUUUCCA